CUACAGUGGCGGAAGUGGAGUAAGACAUCAUGUUGCCUCAAGUUUAAUUGGAAAUCGCGUGCCUUGUGAAGAAUGGACACUCAGUAGAUGCUUAUUGAUGAACCUGUUGGUUGAGGAUAACUCACUAACUUUUCUGAGCUUUGUUGGAAAAACUAGACAGGGGUCUCACUAUGUGAUGCAGGAUGAUCUCAAACUCCCUGGCCUCAAGCGAUCCUCCUGCCUUGGUCUCCUAAAAGUGCUGGGAUUACAGCAGGUCGCUGUAUCUCUAUGCAUUACAGAAAAUGGCUAGUUAAAAACUUGUCAAGAGAUGGGGUUUUACUAUGUUGGAGAAGCUGGUCUCAAACUCCUGGGCUCAAGUCAUCCUCCCGCCUCAGCCUCCCAAAGUGCUGAGAUUACAGAC
RNAcentral lists this long non-coding RNA (400 nucleotides) under Pan troglodytes (chimpanzee). RNAcentral's name for it is "lincRNA". The record is from RNAcentral. Lineage: Eukaryota; Metazoa; Chordata; Mammalia; Primates; Hominidae.